CACUGCAGAAUCUGAAAAGAAAUGGCAAUGAGCAGAGGUCUCCCACUCUCACGUGGAGGACAGGGUCUGCAGAUGAGUCACAUUGUAGAACUUCACUAUUCACAGAGAAAGCCCCUUCACAUGCAGAAUGUCGCUGGUCUCUCAGGACAAUCCUGUGAGACAUAUUCUUCUAUUGACUAUAAUGAGAACUGUGUCUCUUAAAAAU
RNAcentral lists this non-coding RNA (205 nucleotides) under Pongo abelii (Sumatran orangutan). Lineage: Eukaryota; Metazoa; Chordata; Mammalia; Primates; Hominidae. The record is from RNAcentral.